Molecule: long non-coding RNA, 618 nt
Organism: Erinaceus europaeus (western European hedgehog)
Lineage: Eukaryota; Metazoa; Chordata; Mammalia; Eulipotyphla; Erinaceidae
Exons: 3
Source: RefSeq, a predicted model, not a curated record
AAUGGGCACCCUGGAUACUUAGAAAGUCAUGGAGACAUCUUUUCCCUAUUCUGCCUUGAAUGUGUAUUUUUGCUUUAAUAGAAUUGUAAAUCUCACUCUGAAGGAAACAUCUGAAAAAGACCCCCUCUGUCACUGGAUGGUAUUUAUUACUUUUGUACCUGAACAAUGACAAAGCUGUGACCUUCAAGAAUUGCGUGAUUAACCAUGUUUCUCUGACUGUUCUGGAUGAGACUCCAGAUUUUCUGAAGAAAGCAUGAGCCAGGAGAAUAAACUGUUUAUCCUCACAGGACUCCAAAGGCCUGCAUUUUCUGUGAAACUAUGGUGCCAAAUCAUCUGAUCCAGGAGUAUUGUCAGAGAACGAUACAGAAGGGACAGAAAACCUGCAUCAUUUGUGCUGUACACAGCUGACCUUGGAGGAAAGGAUGGUACAGCACCCACAUCCAUCAGGGCCACUACAGAGAAAAAGGAAAAGUUUUUUUCUCAACCCAUCUUGGAUGGAGCUUGAAGGAAUCAUGUUAAGUGAGAUAAGUCAGAAACAGAAGGAUGAAUAUGAGAUGAUCUCAUAGGCAGAAGUUGAAAAAUAUGAUCAGAAGAGAAAAUAUUAAGCAGAACUUGGAG